Cervus elaphus (red deer) is the source of this 387-nucleotide long non-coding RNA. RefSeq lists it as uncharacterized. The record is from RefSeq and is a predicted model, not a curated record. The transcript has 3 exons. Lineage: Eukaryota; Metazoa; Chordata; Mammalia; Artiodactyla; Cervidae.
GGUAUCUACCGGCGAGUUGUUCCCGCGCUGCUGCGUGCUCGUGGGGAACCUCUGAGCGCUGGCCGGCCGAGGUCGGGGAGUUUGGAAGCGCUGUGCCCACUGCUCAGUUUAAUUUGAGGAUUGGCGUGGGCGCCAUUUGGCCUGACUCUGUCUCGGGCCGGGAGGUGCUUUUGUGCUCGGCCGCGUCUUCGCCAACAAAUGUCGCUGCCCCCGGCUCGGCGUAGGUGUAUCCCAUUCAGGCACUGCUUAUCGUGAGGCUGCCAGGACUAACGCCAUGACAAGCGGCCCAGACUAGGAGUAGGCCUAAGUCUCAGUUCCCCGAAAUGGUCGACGGGAUUGAACCCUGGGUUCACUGCAAUCACGUGUGGCAAGCCACACCGGAAGAAC